UACGUAGGGAGCAAGCGUUGUCCGGAAUCAUUGGGCGUAAAGCGCGCGUAGGUGGCCUCAUAAGUCCGCUGUGAAAGUCAAGGGCUCAACCCUUGAAUGCCGGUUGAUACUGUCGGGCUAGAGUCCGGAAGAGGCGAGUGGAAUUCCCGGUGUAGCGGUGAAAUGCGCAGAUAUCGGGAGGAACACCAAUGGCGAAGGCAGCUCGCUGGGACGGUACUGACGCUGAGACGCGAAAGCGUGGGGAGCAAACAGG
This 253-nucleotide ribosomal RNA is filed under the name uncultured bacterium. RNAcentral describes it as "partial 16S ribosomal RNA". It matches the Rfam family "Bacterial small subunit ribosomal RNA", at positions 524 to 776 of the family's 1533-position model. The record is from RNAcentral.